Molecule: ribosomal RNA, 253 nt
Filed under: uncultured bacterium
Lineage: Bacteria
Description: partial 16S ribosomal RNA
Rfam family: Bacterial small subunit ribosomal RNA
Source: RNAcentral
UACGUAAGGUGCAAGCGUUAUCCGGAUUUACUGGGUGUAAAGGGAGCGCAGGCGGCGCGGCAAGUCCGAUGUGAAAACCCCCGGCUCAACCGGGGGACUGCAUUGGAAACUACCGGGCUGGAGUGCCGGAGAGGUAGGCGGAAUUCCUGGUGUAGCGGUGAAAUGCGUAGAUAUCAGGAGGAACACCAGUGGCGAAGGCGGCCUACUGGACGGUGACUGACGCUGAGGCUCGAAAGCGUGGGGAGCAAACAGG